UGGGGAAUAUUGCACAAUGGGCGCAAGCCUGAUGCAGCCAUGCCGCGUGUGUGAAGAAGGCCUUCGGGUUGUAAAGCACUUUCAGCGGGGAGGAAGGCGUUAAGGUUAAUAACCUUGGCGAUUGACGUUACCCGCAGAAGAAGCACCGGCUAACUCCGUGCCAGCAGCCGCGGUAAUACGGAGGGUGCAAGCGUUAAUCGGAAUUACUGGGCGUAAAGCGCACGCAGGCGGUCUGUCAAGUCGGAUGUGAAAUCCCCGGGCUCAACCUGGGAACUGCAUUCGAAACUGGCAGGCUAGAGGCUUGUAGAGGGGGGUAGAAUUCCAGGUGUAGCGGUGAAAUGCGUAGAGAUCUGGAGGAAUACCGGUGGCGAAGGCGGCCCCCUGGACAAAGACUGACGCUCAGGUGCGAAAGCGUGGGGAGCAAACAGG
This 429-nucleotide ribosomal RNA is filed under the name Chloroflexota bacterium. RNAcentral's name for it is "Chloroflexi bacterium partial 16S ribosomal RNA". It matches the Rfam family "Bacterial small subunit ribosomal RNA", at positions 355 to 776 of the family's 1533-position model. The record is from RNAcentral. Lineage: Bacteria; Bacillati; Chloroflexota.